CACGCUUCCUCUGUCUGCCCCAAAGGCCACAUCUCCUGACGAAUUCCUUAUAGUACUUGUAGGUUCCAGGGGAAAUUUAAGGGAUGUGGCUUCUUCUGGAUCCUCUUUUGUGGUAAAAUACACAAGAAGAAUGCUGUAAAAAUCCCUUGUAGGCUUUUUCAGGUGUUUUCAUAUCACAGAAACCUCCUUGUUUCACAUGGAUAGGUCACAUGACUGAUUCAGGAAUGGGUCCAGUGAGUCUUCCACCCUGAAGGAUCAGUUCUGUCUUCCUUGUGCCUUCUUGACUCUAGAAAGUUCUCAUUUUAAUCCUUAUUUUCCUGGACUUUUUACUUUUUCUGCAAUCAACUCUCACAACUCUGCACCUAACCCGAUAUUUUACCUGGAUCCUUCAUAUUUAAAAUCUCCCUCACAGAAGGUGUCAGUGGAAACAUCAUGAUAACCCAGCCUCCUGUCUCCCUGACUGUGUCUCCAGGAGAAACGGUCACCAUCAGAGCAAGUCCAGCCAGAGUGUUAGCAAUGCCUUAACCUCUUACAAGCAGAAACCAGGAUAAUCUCCUAAGCUUCUUAUCUCCUUUGCAUCUACCUGGACUUCUGAGAUACCUGACAGGUUUAGUGGCAUUAGGUCUGGGACAGACUUCACUCUCAACAUCAGCAGCCUCCAGGCUGAGGAUGUGGCAGACUAUUGCUGUUAGCAACAUUAUGGCUACCCUCUCACAGUGCUUCAGCCUGGAACACAGGCCUCCUCACCAGGGCUGCAGGCCUGUGACUCUUCAAUGCACCUGCUGCUUCUUUCCCACACAGUCCUGAACAUGCACACUUCCUCUAACUGCCCCACAUGCCUCAUCUCCUGACUAGUUUCUUGGGCUCUUGAGGAAAGUAAAAGCCACGGACUUUUCUAAAUUCCUUUUUUCUGGGACAUUACUGUAGAAAUAUGCUGUAAAUAUUUCUUAUAGUCUUUGUCAUGCCAGGGAUUUUCGUAGUACAGAAACCUGCAUGUUUCACAUGGCUAGAUCACAAGGCUCAUAUGGAGAAGCACUCAGUGAGUUUUACACCCUGAGGGAUGAGUUGUCUCUUCCCUGUGCCAUCUUGACUGUGGGAUAUUCUCAAUUUAAUUCCUUCUUUUCCUGGCUUUUUCCUUUCUCUGUAAUUACCCCUUAACUCUUGACUUUCCCAAGAUUAAAUCUUUAAACCUUUGUAUAUAUAUAUUUUUUUAUUCUGAACCUCCCCCCGAAAAAGGUAGUAUUGCUCUCUUUCUUUUUCCUUCAACAGGUCCCCUUUUUGGUCAAACCUUCCUGGUCAAUGCCACUGAUGUUGUUUUUUUGUUCUACCUCCUUUUAUAUUGACCUUCCUCUUCUCUCCAUUUCUUUCAGUGGUAUUCAUUCUUUCAAAAGCUAGUGUCUAAUUCAUCAACCUCUACCACUCUAUAAAUAUCUGAUAUUAUUCCCACAUCUUUUUUCAUUAACUGACAACUUUAAGUUCACCCCCUGGGCAACCCAAUCUAAUUUGUUGACUGAAGGAAGUCAUGGUCCUUUUUUGUUGUUAGCUGCUGUGGCUCCUACAACAAUGGUGAAUUCAUGCAGAAUGGGAUCGGGUCAUGGUGAUUCAUAGGCUUGUCACUGGCUAAUUUUUCUAUGUUGAUCUCCAGGCCUCUCUUCCUAGUUGGUCUUAGUCUGGAAGUUUCCCUAAAAUCUGUUCAAUGCCAUAGCAAUAUGCAAGCUUCCACUGACAGAGGAGUAGGGCCUGUGUUUGAGGAGCAUUGGCUGGGCAUCAAACCCAGGUCUCCUGCAUGGAGUCAAGAAUUCCACCACUGAACCAUCGCUGCCACCCAAGGUUCUUUGUUCAGCUAUAGCUGAAUCCUUCUGACAACAUUUAAUUAACAUUCUCAUCUCACUGUAAUAAUACAAAAACUCCAGGUGUUCUAGUGUUACUUCUGUAUCUCCUUCUGAAAUACAGGUAUUGAUAAAAUUUGGCAUCAGAGUGAUCUCAAAAAAACUUGAUCAGUAUACUGUGAACAUUCCUAUGUAUAUAAAAGCACCUUCUCUCUAAAGAUGAGAAAUAUUUUCAAAGACUGAAUGUUAAAGUUUCCAUGUCAUUUAUUCACUCAAGGUAUAUAAAUUGAGAGCUUACUAUGUGUCAUACUCAGAUACAUUGCUUUCAUCCUAGUUGGGGAAGAGGGAAAAGUAACACAUGGAUAGGAAUAAAUUUAUUAAGUAAUUUUGUAACUGGCAUGAAGAAAAAUAAAGAGGGGGAAGGAAUGAGAGCUUGCUGGUGUAAGAUGUUGUCUUUGUUAUCUUGUGCUGUUAUAACUGAAAUAUCACCAGGGGAUGGGUUUAAUGAAGUGAAGUUUAUUCUCUCACAGUCUAGGAGGAGAGAAGACCCAAUUAAGAAUGCCAGCUCUAGUAGGAGGCUUUCUCUGUCUGUCGGCUCUGGAGAAAGGUCUUUGUCAUCAACCUUCCCCUGGUCUAGGAGCUUCUAAGUGCAGGGUCACCCAGUCCAAAGAAUGAGCUCCCCUUCUGGUUCUUCACUCUUGGUGGUAGAAGUCUCUACUCUCUGCUUGAGUCUCUCUUUUAUAUUUCAAAAGAGAUCAAGUCAAGGUAAACCUAAUCCUGUAGUUUGAGCCCUGAAUCAGUAGUGUAAAUGCCUCUAAUUCUGCCUCAUUAACAUCAUAGAUGUAGGAUUGAUAACACAUAGAAGAAUCCCUUCAGAUCAAAAAACCUUGGUCAACUAGACAGAACUGGAAAUUAUGGCCUAGCCAAUUUGACAUACAUUUUUGUGGGACACAAUUCAAUCCACAACAGAGGAGUAGCAAUUUGAAUAAGGGUGAUGUAUCAGUUAGCUCUUGCCCUCCACAUAAAUCAUCCACAAAACCCAGUGGCUAAAAGCAAUAAGCAUUUUUAUUGCUUUCAUGUUUAUUGGUGAGUUGGACCAAUAAAGAGUUCUGUUGAUAUGGA
Long non-coding RNA from Loxodonta africana (African savanna elephant), 2951 nucleotides. RefSeq lists it as uncharacterized. NCBI's taxonomy places the organism in Eukaryota, Metazoa, Chordata, Mammalia, Proboscidea, Elephantidae. The transcript has 2 exons. The record is from RefSeq and is a predicted model, not a curated record.